RNAcentral lists this unclassified non-coding RNA (379 nucleotides) under soil metagenome. RNAcentral describes it as "partial contains 5.8S ribosomal RNA, internal transcribed spacer 2, and large subunit ribosomal RNA". The stretch from base 1 to 120 matches the Rfam family "5.8S ribosomal RNA", at positions 35 to 154 of the family's 154-position model. The record is from RNAcentral.
GAUGAAGAACGUAGCGAAAUGCGAUAAGUAAUGUGAAUUGCAGAAUUCAGUGAAUCAUCGAAUCUUUGAACGCACAUUGCGCCCGCCAGUAUUCUGGCGGGCAUGCCUGUUCGAGCGUCAUUUCAACCCUCAAGCCCCAGCGGCCUGGUGUUGGGGACCGGCGACCUCGCCCGAGCCCGCCCUCCGGGGCGCGUGCCCGGUGCGUCCGCCGCCCCCGAAAUGAAUUGGCGGCCUCGUCGCGGCCUCCUCUGCGUAGUAGCACAACCUCGCAAGCGGGAGCGCGACGCGGCCACUGCCGUAAAACGCCCAACUUUUUUAGAGUUGACCUCGGAUCAGGUAGGAAUACCCGCUGAACUUAAGCAUAUCAAUAAGCCGAGGA